UGGCAGUGUGGUUAGCUGGUUGUUUAAAUUGCUACAACAGCCAGUAACGACACUGCCU
Molecule: non-coding RNA, 58 nt
Filed under: Spodoptera frugiperda (fall armyworm)
Lineage: Eukaryota; Metazoa; Arthropoda; Insecta; Lepidoptera; Noctuidae
Source: RNAcentral